RNAcentral lists this ribosomal RNA (780 nucleotides) under Neocallimastix frontalis. RNAcentral describes it as "partial large subunit ribosomal RNA". It matches the Rfam family "Eukaryotic large subunit ribosomal RNA", at positions 38 to 667 of the family's 3401-position model. The record is from RNAcentral. Lineage: Eukaryota; Fungi; Neocallimastigomycota; Neocallimastigomycetes; Neocallimastigales; Neocallimastigaceae.
GCAUAUCAAUAAGCGGAGGAAAAGAAACUAACAAGGAUUCCCUUAGUAACGGCGAGUGAAGCGGGAAGAGCUCAAAUUUGAAAUCUUCAAGGUUCUACCUUGACGAAUUGUAGUUUAAAGAAGUGUUUUCUGUUAGAUGAGUAGCAAAAGUUCCUUGGAAUGGGACAUCAUAGAGGGUGAGAAUCCCGUAUUUGGUUAUUCAUUCUAGCUUUGUGAUACACUUUCAAAGAGUCGGAUUGUUUGGGAAUGCAGUCCAAAAUGGGUGGUAAAUUUCAUCUAAAGCUAAAUAUUGGCGAGAGACCGAUAGCGAACAAGUACCGUGAGGGAAAGAUGAAAAGAACCUUGAAAAGAGAGUUAAACAGUACGUGAAAUUGUCAAAAGGGAAGCGUUUGACACCAGUGUUGUUUUUCCGAAAAUCAAUUACGAAUGGCUUGAUUUUGUGUUGUAUUGACCUUAUCAGCUUUCUUCACUUUUUUCGAGUCUUUCUUAAUGCACUUUUCGGUUAACAAGUCAACAUCAAUUUCUUUUGUUGUAAAAGAGUAUUCGGAAGGUGGCUUUCUUUUCGGAGAAAGUGUUUAUAGCCCUAUACUUCUACAAUCGGAGAGAUUGAGGUCUGCAGCGUAGAUCCUUCGGGGUUAGAUACACUUGUGCUAAGUUGUAGCUUUUCAUAGACAACUUGUUGACUAUGUUUAGUCAUGCGGCUUACUCGCUUGUGCUAUUUUACCUACGCUUAGGAUGUUGACAAAAUGGUUUUAAACGACCCGUCUUGAAACACGGACC